This 305-nucleotide ribosomal RNA is filed under the name uncultured bacterium. RNAcentral's name for it is "bacterial SSU rRNA". It matches the Rfam family "Bacterial small subunit ribosomal RNA", at positions 333 to 635 of the family's 1533-position model. The record is from RNAcentral.
AUAUGCCUACGGGGCGCAGCAGUGAGGAAUAUUGGUCAAUGGGCUUACGCCUGAACCAGCCAAGUCGCGUGAGGGAAGACUGCGCUAUGGGUUGUAAUCCUCUUUUGUCAGGGAGCAAUUGGCGCUAAGUGUAGCGUUAUCGAGAGUACCUGAAGAAAAAGCAUCGGCUAACUCCGUGCCAGCAGCCGCGGUAAUACGGAGGAUGCGAGCGUUAUCCGGAUUUAUUGGGUUUAAAGGGUGCGUAGGCGGAAUGCCAAGUCAGCGGUAAAAUCGCGGGGCUCAACCUCGCUCCGCCGUUGAACCUG